Long non-coding RNA from Lontra canadensis (Northern American river otter), 397 nucleotides. RefSeq lists it as uncharacterized. The record is from RefSeq and is a predicted model, not a curated record. Lineage: Eukaryota; Metazoa; Chordata; Mammalia; Carnivora; Mustelidae. The transcript is spliced from 3 exons.
AGGACUCAGUCUUGCCCUGCUUGUUAACCACUGGUCGUGGAUCCAAGAGCAGUUCCCCAAAGGGCUGAAUGCUAGUGUUCUCUCUUGGCAAACUGGACACAGUCUGACCCGAUGGGAAUGUGGAGGCAGGGGACAGAAUGAGUUGUUCAUGCCUAUUGCUACAAGAACAAGGAGAUGAGUAAUUCUGUGUGGAGUUCAGCGAGAUGUUGGAGAUACCAUUGCAAAUGAGACGAGGUUCCUGACCCCCAACUCCCGGAGAUGAGCCAUGGAGGAGGAAAGGCUGCACAGCAUCUGCCUUUCUGGAGCCAGGGGAGGCUGCAUGGAGAAGAGGACAACUGCCAUGGAUCUUGAAAGAAAGUGACCAGAAAGUUAUUGGCCGUGGAAAACUGAAUCGCCA